This 468-nucleotide ribosomal RNA is filed under the name uncultured bacterium. RNAcentral's name for it is "partial 16S ribosomal RNA". It matches the Rfam family "Bacterial small subunit ribosomal RNA", at positions 28 to 507 of the family's 1533-position model. The record is from RNAcentral.
GACGAACGCUGGCGGCGUGCUUAACACAUGCAAGUCGAACGGAAAGGCCCUGCUUUUGUGGGGUGCUCGAGUGGCGAACGGGUGAGUAACACGUGAGUAACCUGCCCUUGACUUUGGGAUAACUUCAGGAAACUGGGGCUAAUACCGGAUAGGAGCUCCUGCUGCAUGGUGGGGGUUGGAAAGUUUCGGCGGUUGGGGAUGGACUCGCGGCUUAUCAGCUUGUUGGUGGGGUAGUGGCUUACCAAGGCUUUGACGGGUAGCCGGCCUGAGAGGGUGACCGGCCACAUGGGGACUGAGAUACGGCCCAGACUCCUACGGGAGGCAGCAGUGGGGAACAUGGCACAAUGGGCGGAAGCGUGAGGCAGCAACGCCGGGUGCGGGAUGACGGCCUUCGGGUGGUAAACCGCUUUCGACGGUGACGAAGCGUGAGUGACGGUAAUGGGUAAAGAAGCACCGGCUAACUACGUG